AUUCAUAAAAAUAAUGAAAAUACAAAUGUUAAAAAUGAUAAGACACACAUGUAACACACGUUUUACAAAAACUAGUUUCCAUGAAAGGAGGCUUCAACCUUAGCUUGAAGGAUAUGAGGGGUGGUGGCACAUUGUCCAACUGUAUCCCUUUUGUAUCCAAUAUCAAGAUUGUAUUAUCUUUUCCUCCCUUGAUAUUUAUGCAGCUUUAUAGAGUGCAUUUUCAUAUUAAUAUAGUUUUGAUAAAAGGACAUCUGCAAAUUUUCAUAUUCCAUGCUUCCUAGCUUCUUAGCCAUGGAUUUCUUUGGUUGGAGUGUGGCACAUUGUCCAACUGUAUCCCUUUUGUAUCCAAUAUCAAGAUUGUAUUAUCUUUUCCUCCCUUGAUAUUUAUGCAGCUUUAUAGAGUGCAUUUUCAUAUUAAUAUAGUUUUGAUAAAAGGACAUCUGCAAAUUUUCAUAUUCCAUGCUUCCUAGCUUCUUAGCCAUGGAUUUCUUUGGUUGGAGUGUCCUGUCAAAAACUGAAGCAUGUGAAGGUAUACCUUGUACCCCAAUUGGUCUGUUACUCUGUUUUAA
This 569-nucleotide unclassified non-coding RNA is filed under the name Hevea brasiliensis (rubber tree). The record is from RNAcentral. Lineage: Eukaryota; Viridiplantae; Streptophyta; Magnoliopsida; Malpighiales; Euphorbiaceae.